UGUGCAAACAGCCCCAUCCACAAAACUGGGAAUUCACUUGGAUUCCAUUGGCCAUGUAGGGGUAAAGCAGAUUUAUUUCAUCAGGGAAAUGGAUUUAAAUGGUUGUUUAAAUGUCUUACGUAAGCACCUGGCCGGCACGCAGGCAGACAGGAGGAGGAGACAGCAGGCUAAUGCCAGGACACUGGACACAGGCACAUGGUGGUAAGCUUGGUCCCUCCAAUGGUGCCGCCAUUUCUCAGAUCCUCUUCUUGGUCGGAGGGAGGGUGACUCUGGAAGUUCCCAAAGGAACAAAUGGGUCAGUCUGGUCCCAUAAGGGGCUGUUCCUGCCGGCAGCAGCUUCUUAGAGGGAGGGAGCAGGAGAGAAGCAGCCCAGGGCCAGGGAAACCCUGCAAGAAACAUAGAACACAGCUUUCCUCUCCAGAAUCUGUACACUUUCUUCCUCAAUGGGAGAGGAUUUGCUUUGUAGGCAGAAGGUCCCGGUUUCAACCCCUGGUCUCUCUAGGUCAGGGGUCAGGAAACUAUUUCAGCAGGGGGCCAGUCCACUGUCCCUCAGACCUUGCGGGGGGCCCGACUAUAUUUUGAAAAAAAAUAAUGAACAAAUUCCGAUGCCCCACAAAUAACCCAGAGAUGCAUUUUAAAUAAAUGCACACAUUCUACUCAUGUAAAAACACCAGGCAGGCCCCACAAAUAACCCAGAGAUGCAUUUUAAAUAAGAGGACACUGUGGUGUUUGCCUCCUAGGUGUGUGACAUCAUACUGGGUUCAUAAGGAAAGGGUUAACUAAUUGUAAAAUGACUAACCAAUAGGAACCCAAGGGGAGUAGUUAGAAUUAGAGUUAGAGUUGUUAAUAAGUCAGUCUGGAGUUAGAGAAGAGAUGGAGAGGAUAAGUCUGUGGGAUGGGCUAGUUUGAUGUGGGAGACUGAGAGAAUCUGUUAAGAGGAGUCAUUCAAACAGUUGAUAUAAUCAGUCAGAAGGUAUUAGGAAGGUAUAGGCCAGUAAAGAAACUAAAGUUAAGAAACUGACAAGAAUAUUAUCUGAGAAACCAUAAACUUGUUAAUACUUAUAAAAUAAACUUCUUUAUUUGGUUCAAUUUUAACAACUGUCUAGACUCAGUGUUUUACCCGAGAGUAACGGGUUGGUGGCAGCGGGGAAGGGAGCACAGUGGUGGCACAGGGAUCAACAGACCGUCAAACAUCCGGGGACCCUGUGUGAUCGCCACAGACACAUUCUACUCAUGUAAAAACACGCUGAUUCCCGGACCGUCCGCAGGCCAGAUUUAGAAGGUGAUUGGGCCGCAUCUGGCCCCUGGGCCUUAGUUUGCCUACCCAUGGUCUAGGUAGAUCAAGGAGGGAAUCCUGCCUUAAAUCCUUGGCAGCCGCUGCCACGGGGUAGACAAACUUAGUUACAGGGUCCAAUUCUGGCACAUUAUAAUGCUGACUCCUAUGUUUGACCUUUUAGGGAAGGACCACAGCUCAGAGGCAGAGCUCCUGCCAGUGGCACACCUACAUUUUUGGGUCCCUGAACAUCGAACUGUUAUGGGGACCCCUUUCCAACCAGCAAUGAGGUCUGGG
RNAcentral lists this long non-coding RNA (1570 nucleotides) under Podarcis lilfordi (Lilford's wall lizard). Lineage: Eukaryota; Metazoa; Chordata; Lepidosauria; Squamata; Lacertidae. The record is from RNAcentral.